GUGCCAGCCGCCGCGGUAAUACGGAGGGUGCAAGCGUUGUUCGGAAUUACUGGGCGUAAAGGGCGUGUAGGCGGUGUGGUAAGUCAGAUGUGAAAGCCCUGGGCUUAACCCAGGAAGUGCAUUUGAAACUGCCAUGCUUGAGUAUGGGAGAGGAGAGUGGAAUUCCCAGUGUAGAGGUGAAAUUCGUAGAUAUUGGGAGGAACACCCGUGGCGAAGGCGACUCUCUGGACCAAUACUGACGCUGAGGCGCGAAAGCGUGGGGAGCAAACAGGAUUAGAUACCCUGGUAGUCCACGCUGUAAACGAUGAGCACUAGGUGUAGCGGGUAUUGACCCCUGCUGUGCCGUAGCUAACGCAUUAAGUGCUCCGCCUGGGGAGUACGGCCGCAAGGCUAAAACUCAAAGGAAUUGACGGGGGCCCGCACAAGCGGUGGAGCAUGUGGUUUAAUUCGAAGAUACACGAAGAACCUUACCUGGCCUUGACAUCCCGAGAACCCUUAAGAGAUUAGGGGGUGCUAGCUUGCUAGAACUCGGUGACAGGUGCUGCACGGCUGUCGUCAGCUCGUGUCGUGAGAUGUUGGGUUAAGUCCCGCAACGAGCGCAACCCUCGUCCUUAGUUGCUAACAGUUCGGCUGAGCACUCUAAGGAGACUGCCUUCGUAAGGAGGAGGAAGGUGAGGACGACGUCAAGUCAUCAUGGCCCUUACGGCCAGGGCUACACACGUGCUACAAUGGGGCGUACAAAGAGCUGCAAUACCGCGAGGUGGAGCCAAUCUCUUAAAGCGUCUCUCAGUUCGGAUUGUUCUCUGCAACUCGAGAACAUGAAGCUGGAAUCACUAGUAAUCGUAGAUCAGCUAUGCUACGGUGAAUACGUUCCCGGGUCUUGUACUCACCGCCCGUCACACCAUGGGAGUUGAUUUCACCCGAAAUCGGGAUGCCAAACUGGCUACCGCUUACGGUGGAAUUAGCGACUGGGGUGAAGUCGUAACAAGGUAACC
This 995-nucleotide ribosomal RNA is filed under the name uncultured bacterium. RNAcentral's name for it is "bacterial SSU rRNA". It matches the Rfam family "Bacterial small subunit ribosomal RNA", at positions 505 to 1501 of the family's 1533-position model. The record is from RNAcentral.